UACGUAGGGGGCGAGCGUUGUCUGGAUUUAUUGGGCGUAAAAGGCUUGUAGGUGGCCACGUCAAGUCGGAUGUGAAAUCUCCCGGCUCAACUGGGAAACUGCAUCGGAAACUGAUCGGCUUGAAGAUGGGAGAGGGUAGUGGAAUUCCCGGUGUAGUGGUGAAAUGCGUAGAUAUCGGGAGGAACACCAGUGGCGAAGGCGACUACCUGGCCCAUUCUUGACGCUGAGGCGCGAAAGCUAGGGGAGCGAACGGG
Molecule: ribosomal RNA, 254 nt
Filed under: uncultured bacterium
Lineage: Bacteria
Description: partial 16S ribosomal RNA
Rfam family: Bacterial small subunit ribosomal RNA
Source: RNAcentral